Molecule: transfer RNA, 65 nt
Filed under: Psychromicrobium lacuslunae
Lineage: Bacteria; Bacillati; Actinomycetota; Actinomycetes; Micrococcales; Micrococcaceae
Description: tRNA-Lys (TTT) (tRNA-Lys-TTT-2-1)
Rfam family: tRNA
About the family: Transfer RNA (tRNA) molecules are approximately 80 nucleotides in length.
Source: RNAcentral
AGCCACUCAGUAGCAUCGGACUUUUAAUCCGUGGGUCGAGGGUUCGAGCCCCUCAGGGCCCACCA